This 2357-nucleotide ribosomal RNA is filed under the name Klebsiella michiganensis. RNAcentral describes it as "partial 23S ribosomal RNA". It matches the Rfam family "Bacterial large subunit ribosomal RNA", at positions 591 to 2925 of the family's 2925-position model. The record is from RNAcentral. Lineage: Bacteria; Pseudomonadati; Pseudomonadota; Gammaproteobacteria; Enterobacterales; Enterobacteriaceae.
GGGUGACUGCGUACCUUUUGUAUAAUGGGUCAGCGACUUAUAUUCUGUAGCAAGGUUAACCGUAUAGGGGAGCCGCAGGGAAACCGAGUCUUAACUGGGCGUUAAGUUGCAGGGUAUAGACCCGAAACCCGGUGAUCUAGCCAUGGGCAGGUUGAAGGUUGGGUAACACUAACUGGAGGACCGAACCGACUAAUGUUGAAAAAUUAGCGGAUGACUUGUGGCUGGGGGUGAAAGGCCAAUCAAACCGGGAGAUAGCUGGUUCUCCCCGAAAGCUAUUUAGGUAGCGCCUCGUGAAUUCAUCUUCGGGGGUAGAGCACUGUUUCGGCUAGGGGGUCAUCCCGACUUACCAACCCGAUGCAAACUACGAAUACCGAAGAAUGUUAUCACGGGAGACACACGGCGGGUGCUAACGUCCGUCGUGAAGAGGGAAACAACCCAGACCGCCAGCUAAGGUCCCAAAGUCAUGGUUAAGUGGGAAACGAUGUGGGAAGGCCCAGACAGCCAGGAUGUUGGCUUAGAAGCAGCCAUCAUUUAAAGAAAGCGUAAUAGCUCACUGGUCGAGUCGGCCUGCGCGGAAGAUGUAACGGGGCUAAACCAUGCACCGAAGCUGCGGCAGCGACACUAUGUGUUGUUGGGUAGGGGAGCGUUCUGUAAGCCGUUGAAGGUGGCCUGUGAGGGUUGCUGGAGGUAUCAGAAGUGCGAAUGCUGACAUAAGUAACGAUAAUGCGGGUGAAAAACCCGCACGCCGGAAGACCAAGGGUUCCUGUCCAACGUUAAUCGGGGCAGGGUGAGUCGACCCCUAAGGCGAGGCCGAAAGGCGUAGUCGAUGGGAAACAGGUUAAUAUUCCUGUACUCGGUGUUACUGCGAAGGGGGGACGGAGAAGGCUAUGUUGGCCGGGCGACGGUUGUCCCGGUUUAAGCAUGUAGGCGGAUGUUCCAGGUAAAUCCGGAACGUUAUUAACGCUGAGGUGUGAUGACGAGGCACUACGGUGCUGAAGUGACAAAUGCCCUGCUUCCAGGAAAAGCCUCUAAGCAUCAGGUAACAUCAAAUCGUACCCCAAACCGACACAGGUGGUCAGGUAGAGAAUACCAAGGCGCUUGAGAGAACUCGGGUGAAGGAACUAGGCAAAAUGGUGCCGUAACUUCGGGAGAAGGCACGCUGAUGGUAGGUGAAGCGACUUGCUCGUGGAGCUGAAAUCAGUCGAAGAUACCAGCUGGCUGCAACUGUUUAUUAAAAACACAGCACUGUGCAAACACGAAAGUGGACGUAUACGGUGUGACGCCUGCCCGGUGCCGGAAGGUUAAUUGAUGGGGUUAUCCGUAAGGAGAAGCUCUUGAUCGAAGCCCCGGUAAACGGCGGCCGUAACUAUAACGGUCCUAAGGUAGCGAAAUUCCUUGUCGGGUAAGUUCCGACCUGCACGAAUGGCGUAAUGAUGGCCAGGCUGUCUCCACCCGAGACUCAGUGAAAUUGAACUCGCUGUGAAGAUGCAGUGUACCCGCGGCAAGACGGAAAGACCCCGUGAACCUUUACUAUAGCUUGACACUGAACACUGGUCCUUGAUGUGUAGGAUAGGUGGGAGGCUUUGAAGUGUGGACGCCAGUCUGCAUGGAGCCAUCCUUGAAAUACCACCCUUUAAUGGCUGGUGUUCUAACGUGGGCCCCUAAUCGGGGUUGCGGACAGUGUCUGGUGGGUAGUUUGACUGGGGCGGUCUCCUCCUAAAGAGUAACGGAGGAGCACGAAGGUCAGCUAAUCCUGGUCGGACAUCAGGAGGUUAGUGCAAUGGCAUAAGCUGGCUUGACUGCGAGCGUGACGGCGCGAGCAGGUGCGAAAGCAGGUCAUAGUGAUCCGGUGGUUCUGAAUGGAAGGGCCAUCGCUCAACGGAUAAAAGGUACUCCGGGGAUAACAGGCUGAUACCGCCCAAGAGUUCAUAUCGACGGCGGUGUUUGGCACCUCGAUGUCGGCUCAUCACAUCCUGGGGCUGAAGUAGGUCCCAAGGGUAUGGCUGUUCGCCAUUUAAAGUGGUACGCGAGCUGGGUUUAGAACGUCGUGAGACAGUUCGGUCCCUAUCUGCCGUGGGCGCUGGAGAAUUGAGGGGGGCUGCUCCUAGUACGAGAGGACCGGAGUGGACGCAUCACUGGUGUUCGGGUUGUCAUGCCAAUGGCAUUGCCCGGUAGCUAAAUGCGGAAGAGAUAAGUGCUGAAAGCAUCUAAGCACGAAACUUGCCCCGAGAUGAGUUCUCCCUGACCCUUUAAGGGUCCUGAAGGAACGUUGAAGACGACGACGUUGAUAGGCCGGGUGUGUAAGCGCAGCGAUGCGUUGAGCUAACCGGUACUAAUGAACCGUGAGGCUUAACCUU